UGCUUCGGACCUGGCUACCUUGACA
RNAcentral lists this unclassified non-coding RNA (25 nucleotides) under Mus musculus (house mouse). RNAcentral's name for it is "oocyte_clustered_small_RNA6368". Lineage: Eukaryota; Metazoa; Chordata; Mammalia; Rodentia; Muridae. The record is from RNAcentral.